RNAcentral lists this ribosomal RNA (763 nucleotides) under uncultured Microcystis sp. RNAcentral's name for it is "bacterial SSU rRNA". It matches the Rfam family "Bacterial small subunit ribosomal RNA", at positions 8 to 814 of the family's 1533-position model. The record is from RNAcentral. Lineage: Bacteria; Bacillati; Cyanobacteriota; Cyanophyceae; Chroococcales; Microcystaceae.
AGAGUUUGAUCCUGGCUCAGGAUGAACGCUGGCGGCGUGCCUAACACAUGCAAGUCGAACGGGAAUCUUCGGAUUCUAGUGGCGGACGGGUGAGUAACGCGUAAGAAUCUAACUUCAGGACGGGGACAACAGUUGGAAACGACUGCUAAUACCCGAUGUGCCGAAAGGUGAAACCUAAUUGGCCUGAAGAAGAGCUUGCGUCUGAUUAGCUAGUUGGUGGGGUAAGAGCCUCCCAAGGCGACGAUCAGUAGCUGGUCUGAGAGGAUGAGCAGCCACGCUGGGACUGAGACACGGCCCAGACUCCUACGGGAGGCAGCAGUGGGGAAUUUUCCGCAAUGGGCGAAAGCCUGACGGAGCAACGCCGCGUGAGGGAGGAAGGUCUUUGGAUUGUAAACCUCUUUUCUCAAGGAAGAAGUUCUGACGGUACUUGAGGAAUCAGCCUCGGCUAACUCCGUGCCAGCAGCCGCGGUAAUACGGGGGAGGCAAGCGUUAUCCGGAAUUAUUGGGCGUAAAGCGUCCGCAGGUGGUCAGCCAAGUCUGCCGUCAAAUCAGGUUGCUUAACGACCUAAAGGCGGUGGAAACUGGCAGACUAGAGAGCAGUAGGGGUAGCAGGAAUUCCCAGUGUAGCGGUGAAAUGCGUAGAGAUUGGGAAGAACAUCGGUGGCGAAAGCGUGCUACUGGGCUGUAUCUGACACUCAGGGACGAAAGCUAGGGGAGCGAAAGGGAUUAGAUACCCCUGUAGUCCUAGCCGUAAACGAUGGAU